Molecule: unclassified non-coding RNA, 297 nt
Filed under: uncultured Ascomycota
Lineage: Eukaryota; Fungi; Ascomycota
Description: sequence contains ITS1
Rfam family: 5.8S ribosomal RNA (bases 1-105)
Source: RNAcentral
GAAAUGCGAUACUUGGUGUGAAUUGCAGAAUCCCGUGAACCAUCGAGUCUUUGAACGCACAUUGCGCCCUCUGGUAUUCCGGGGGGCAUGCCUGUUCGAGCGUCAUUAUAACCACUCAAGCUCUCUCGCUUGGUAUUGGGGUUCGCGGUUUCGCGGCCCCUAAAAUCAGUGGCGGUGCCUUGUCGGCUCUACGCGUAGUAAUACUCCUCGCGAUUGAGUCCGGUAGGUUUACUUGCCAGCAACCCCUAAUUUUUUAAGGUUGACCUCGGAUCAGGUAGGGAUACCCGCUGAACUUAA